Molecule: ribosomal RNA, 468 nt
Filed under: uncultured bacterium
Lineage: Bacteria
Description: partial 16S ribosomal RNA
Rfam family: Bacterial small subunit ribosomal RNA
Source: RNAcentral
GACGAACGCUGGCGGCGUGCUUAACACAUGCAAGUCGAACGGAAAGGCCCUGCUUUUGUGGGGUGCUCGAGUGGCGAACGGGUGAGUAACACGUGAGUAACCUGCCCUUGACUUUGGGAUAACUUCAGGAAACUGGGGCUAAUACCGGAUAGGAGCUCCUGCUGCAUGGUGGGGGUUGGAAAGUUUCGGCGGUUGGGGAUGGACUCGCGGCUUAUCAGCUUGUUGGUGAGGUAGUGGCUUACCAAGGCUUUGACGGGUAGCCGGCCUGAGAGGGUGACCGGCCACAUUGGGACUGAGAUACGGCCCAGACUCCUACGGGAGGCAGCAGUGGGGAAUAUUGCACAAUGGGCGGAGGCCUGAUGCAGCAACGCCGCGUGCGGGAUGACGGCCUUCGGGUUGUAAACCGCUUUCGCCUGUGACGAAGCGUGAGUGACGGUAAUGGGUAAAGAAGCACCGGCUAACUACGUG